UACGGAGGGUGCAAGCGUUAAUCGGAAUUACUGGGCGUAAAGCGCGCGUAGGCGGCCAUUUAAGCUAGAUGUGAAAUCCCCGGGCUUAACCUGGGAAUUGCAUUUAGAACUGGAUGGCUAGAGUAUGGAAGAGGAGUGUGGAAUUUCAGGUGUAGCGGUGAAAUGCGUAGAGAUCUGAAGGAACAUCAGUGGCGAAGGCGACACUCUGGUCCAAUACUGACGCUGAGGUGCGAAAGCGUGGGGAUCAAACAGGAUUAGAAACCCGCGUAGUCC
This 273-nucleotide ribosomal RNA is filed under the name uncultured bacterium. RNAcentral describes it as "partial 16S ribosomal RNA". It matches the Rfam family "Bacterial small subunit ribosomal RNA", at positions 524 to 796 of the family's 1533-position model. The record is from RNAcentral.